AUCAGCUUCCCCUAGGGACAGACCUAGGAUCAGCUUCCCCUAGGGACAGACCUAGGAUCAGCUUCCCCUAGGUACAGACCUAGGAUUAGCUUCCCCUCCCCCAAGCUUUACACAAAACAUUAAUGGGGAGAAACGCCAGACUGACUCAAGAUCAGUCUUUAGGGGAAACUUGACUCUACUCUAAUCAUGAAACCCAAAUUUUCACUCGUUUUGACAAAUAGUACUGCAGUUCUGACAUACUGGUAGCCUGGGUGGAUUAUAAUGUAGCCUGGGGGGAUUAUAAUGUAGCCUGGGUGGGAUUAUAAUGUAGCCUGGGUGGAUUAUAAUGUAGCCUGGGUGGAUUAUAUGUAUCCUGGGUGGGAUUAUAAUGUAGUCUGGGGGGAUUAUAAUAUAGCCUGGGGGAUUAUAAUGUGGCCUGGGUGGAUUAUAAUGUAGCCUGGGUGGAUUAUAAUGUAGCCUGGGGGAUUAUAAUGUAGCCUGGGUGGGAUUAUAAUGUAGCCUGGGUGGGAUUAUAAUGUGGCCUGGGUGGAUUAUAAUGUAGCCUGGGUGGGAUUAUAAUGUAGUCUGGGGGAUUAUAAUAUAGCCUGGGGGGUUUAUAAUGUAGUCUGGGGUGGAUUAUAAUGUAGCCUGGGGGAUUAUAAUGUAGUCUGGGUGGAUUAUAAUGUAGCCUGGGGGAUUAUAAUGUAGCCUGGGUGGAUGUAAUUUAGCCUGGGUGGAUUAUAAAGUAGCCUGGCGAAUGUAAUGUAGCCUGGGUGGAUUAUAAUGUAGCCUGGGUGGGAUUAUAAUGUAGCCUGGGUGGAUUAUAAUGUAGCCUGGGGGGGGAUUAUAAUGUAGUCUGGGUGAAUUAUAAAGUAGCCUGGGUGGAUUAUAAUGUAGCCUGGGGAGAUUAUAAUGUAGCCUGUGUGAAUUAUAAUGUAGCCUGGGUGAAUUAUAAUGUAGCCUGGGUGGAUUAUAAUGUAGCCUGGGGGGGUUAUAAUGUAGCCUGUGUGGAUUAUAAUGUAGCCUGGGUGGGAUUAUAUUGUAGCCUGGGUGAAUGUAAUGUAGCCUGGGGGGGGGAUUAU
Molecule: long non-coding RNA, 1061 nt
Organism: Oncorhynchus tshawytscha (Chinook salmon)
Lineage: Eukaryota; Metazoa; Chordata; Actinopteri; Salmoniformes; Salmonidae
Source: Ensembl